UUUUUUUUUUUUGGUUUAAAAGACUUCUUUAUAUUAGUUAAAGAAUGAGCUGCUGCCCUAAGGCAGUUACACAAAAGGGAAUAACACACAAGGCUCGUGAUAAUAACAGUUCAUUCAUGGACUGCAACUAUAUUACCAGUUGAUAAGAGUUAUAAUUUUGUUCACCACAGAAUACUAGUACUAGUACUAGUAGUAGGAAAACAUUGUUUCUUUUUCUUUUUUAAUUUCACGAGAUAAAAGGAUAAUAACUGCACAUUAGGUUCCCACACCUCAACAACAUAAAUAGAGCUCCGUUCAUUGGUCUCUAUUAUUAUCUCAGUUACAUUCUUUUGUAUCCUUGAAGCUGCGCCCCACAUGCGAUUUAUCACGUGCCAGUAGCUUAGCUUACAAAUACUCCAUCUUCUUUUAAAGUUAACAUUGAGUGAUUAUUACCAAUUCUUUACAUCAAACCUUC
Molecule: long non-coding RNA, 454 nt
Filed under: Nicotiana tabacum (common tobacco)
Lineage: Eukaryota; Viridiplantae; Streptophyta; Magnoliopsida; Solanales; Solanaceae
Description: long non-coding RNA (NTAB_LNC013771)
Source: RNAcentral